GCGGAACACGUGUGCAACCUGCCUUUAUCUGGGGGAUAGCCUUUCGAAAGGAAGAUUAAUACCCCAUAAUAUAUUGAAUGGCAUCAUUUGAUAUUGAAAACUCCGGUGGAUAGAGAUGGGCACGCGCAAGAUUAGAUAGUUGGUGAGGUAACGGCUCACCAAGUCAGCGAUCUUUAGGGGGCCUGAGAGGGUGAUCCCCCACACUGGUACUGAGACACGGACCAGACUCCUACGGGAGGCAGCAGUGAGGAAUAUUGGACAAUGGGUGAGAGCCUGAUCCAGCCAUCCCGCGUGAAGGACGACGGCCCUAUGGGUUGUAAACUUCUUUUGUAUAGGGAUAAACCUACCCUCGUGAGGGUAGCUGAAGGUACUAUACGAAUAAGCACCGGCUAACUCCGUGCCAGCAGCCGCGGUAAUACGGAGGGUGCAAGCGUUAUCCGGAUUUAUUGGGUUUAAAGGGUCCGUAGGCUGAUUUGUAAGU
RNAcentral lists this ribosomal RNA (481 nucleotides) under Chryseobacterium flavum. RNAcentral's name for it is "bacterial SSU rRNA". It matches the Rfam family "Bacterial small subunit ribosomal RNA", at positions 108 to 588 of the family's 1533-position model. Lineage: Bacteria; Pseudomonadati; Bacteroidota; Flavobacteriia; Flavobacteriales; Weeksellaceae. The record is from RNAcentral.